GCUGGGUGUGGUGGUACACACCUGUAGUCCCAGCUGCUGUGGAGGCUGAGCUGGGAGGAUCACUUGAGCCUAGGUGUUCUAGGCUGCAGUGAGCUGUGACCUUUAGGUGUUUGUACACUAUAAGUGUAGCAUCAAUAUAGUGAUCUCCCAGGAGUAGGGAGCCACUAGGUUGCCUAAGGAGAGGUGAACCAGCCCAGUCAGAAACGAGCAGGUCAAAGCUCCAGGGCUGAUCAGUAAUGGGAUGGUGCCUGUGAAUAACCACUGCACUCCAGCCUGGGCAGCACAGCAAGACCCUCUU
RNAcentral lists this signal recognition particle RNA (298 nucleotides) under Saimiri boliviensis boliviensis (Bolivian squirrel monkey). RNAcentral's name for it is "Metazoan signal recognition particle RNA (ENSSBOG00000005527.1)". It matches the Rfam family "Metazoan signal recognition particle RNA". Rfam says of the family: The signal recognition particle (SRP) is a universally conserved ribonucleoprotein. The record is from Rfam by way of RNAcentral. Lineage: Eukaryota; Metazoa; Chordata; Mammalia; Primates; Cebidae.